Molecule: ribosomal RNA, 460 nt
Filed under: uncultured bacterium
Lineage: Bacteria
Description: partial 16S ribosomal RNA
Rfam family: Bacterial small subunit ribosomal RNA
Source: RNAcentral
CCUACGGGAGGCAGCAGUGAGGAAUAUUGGUCAAUGGACGCAAGUCUGAACCAGCCAUGCCGCGUGCAGGAAGACGGCUCUAGGAGUUGUAAACUGCUUUUGUAGGAGGGUAAACGCAGAUACGCGUAUCUGUCUGAAAGUAUCGUACGAAUAAGGAUCGGCUAACUCCGUGCCAGCAGCCGCGGUAAUACGGAGGAUUCAAGCGUUAUACGGAUUUAUUGGGUUUAAAGGGUGCGUAGGCGGUCGGAUAAGUUAGAGGUGAAAUCCCGAGGCUCAAACUCGGAAUUGCCUUUGAUACUGUGCGGCUAGAGAGUAGGUGAGGUUGGCGGAAUGUGUGGUGUAGCGGUGAAAUGCUUAGAGAUCAUACAGAACACCGAUUGCGAAGGCAGCUUACCAAGCUACUUCUGACGCUGAGGCACGAAAGCGUGGGGAGCAAACAGGAUUAGAUACCCCAGUAGUC